This 226-nucleotide ribosomal RNA is filed under the name uncultured bacterium. Its description in RNAcentral is "partial 16S ribosomal RNA". It matches the Rfam family "Bacterial small subunit ribosomal RNA", at positions 107 to 334 of the family's 1533-position model. The record is from RNAcentral.
UGAGUAACACGUAUCCAACCUGCCGUCUACUCUUGGACAGCCUUCUGAAAGGAAGAUUAAUACAAGAUGGCAUCAUGAGUUCACAUGUUCACAUGAUUAAAGGUAUUCCGGUAGACGAUGGGGAUGCGUUCCAUUAGAUAGUAGGCGGGUAACGGCCCACCUAGUCUACGAUGGAUAGGGGUUCUGAGAGGAAGGUCCCCCACAUUGGAACUGAGACACGGUCCAA